UUAUAUCACCAAUUUCAUGUUGUUAUUUGGAUUAAGGGUAAAUAUGAAAAAUAUAUUAUUUCAGUGCUUAUGUGUGACGUUACGUCCUGUAAAUCUUAUUCUGCUUGUAAAGAAUAUGAGAUUUGAUUGUCACUCUGUCAGUUGUAAAUACUGCAUAUUGAAAAAGUUUGAAGUUGUUCAGUCAUUGCUAUGCAAAGAAGUUAUACAUGUUUAGAUAAUGUAAUGUGAUGAUAAACUGUUGUAAUAUGAAUAAGUUUUAUUAUUGAUUCAUAGUAAAUACAGUGACGGCAAGCCAGCCAUCACAUCAGCAGUCUUUCCUAACUAUAUUAUACUUCUUUUCAGGAGUACUACAAUUUUGAAAGCAAGUGAUUGUUUGCCAUGUCGCAUCCUACACAUUUUCAGUUCAAGCCUGUUGCAGAUCAAUACUGCCUGGAUGGGUGGUUUGAAUGUCCCUGCUGCAGUUUUAUGACUAAAGAGAAAUUCUCAUUUUCUAUUCAUCUUGAGAACCAUAUAAGUCAUGCAGUGGAGCAUGGAGGUUACUUCAUCUCAAAAUGCAACAAACUGUGCAGGACCACAGCCCAUUUUCACUGUCUGUACUGCAGCCAGACAGUAAUACGCAAGGAACAAUACAUAAGCCAUGUCUCCAAAUGCUCUAAGACAGAAGUACUUGCAGCACCUACCCUAUCUCCAGCUCUCUCUGUAGCUGCAUGCCCGACACCCU
Long non-coding RNA from Xyrauchen texanus (razorback sucker), 721 nucleotides. RefSeq lists it as uncharacterized. The transcript is spliced from 3 exons. The record is from RefSeq and is a predicted model, not a curated record. NCBI's taxonomy places the organism in Eukaryota, Metazoa, Chordata, Actinopteri, Cypriniformes, Catostomidae.